GAGUUUGGUGGAGAUGUACAGAUCGACCUGUUCGUGAAAGAAGCAGUCGAAGGAACGUUUGGCUACUAUCAGUGUAGGAGGCAAAGACUAUGAAGCAGAAGAAUCCGUCAUCCAUCCUGCUAACAAGUACAUGAAAACCUUUGUCAAGGAACUUGGACUCUCUUCUACACAAGCCCAGAAAUGCCUGGCAGGCAUUUACAAACAGAGAGAAAUCUGUAUUUGAGAAGAGUAGCAGGUUCUGCCGAGGGGCCUCUGCGGGAGUGGCGGGCUUCUCCUGCCGGAGAGUCCAGCUGGCCCGCUGCCCAGCCAGCCAGCCAGGGUCCUGGCCCGGGUUGACCUGGUACCCGACCUCCACCCCAGAAGUCCGAAUGGGGUCAUGCCAAACCGCGUUGCCCAACCCUUCGAUCCAGGACGGUGGACACUUUCGGUGGUUGCCCCCGGUGCCGGGGCCGGAUGGCACAUCUACAAAACUGCCAGGAAACGUCCGCGGAGACGUUCAGGGUCGCGUUUUUCAGGACCCUAAACACCCAUCUUUGGUUCCAGAAGGGCGGCGAGAGAAACCUCCGGGGCAGAACCGUGCUGCAGCCGGAGGGCAACCCCAAGUUGCGCGCCCCACUGCCAUGUCAACCGAGCGCUGAGGCAGGGGCCCGAUCCGGCGGGACAGGCCGGGCAAGAGUUCCAGGAGCCCAGCCACCAUUCUGGCUUCACCCUGGUGACCUCCCUGGAGGUUGGGCAGGCCUGGGGCAGCUCCAAGGGUACCGGCAGGUCUGCGGGGCCCCGGGGUCGGAGCCCAGCAACCCCAGGGUGGGGCAGCAGGAGCCCGUGCAGCCCUCCACAGUGCCACGUCGACCCGGAGGUCCAGAGCGGGACCAUUCCAGGUUACAAAGUGGUGCUGAGUGUGUGUGUGGAGGGGUCGGGGGGAAGCAGCCCCUCCCCGCCCCAUGGCCAGUGCUCCCUGCUGCAGCCACUCGCAGCCUGCCUGGGGCUGCCUGUGCCUGCUCUGGACAGCCCCGCGUGGGCUGCGAGCGCUAGCCAUGGGGCAGGCGAGGGGCUGCUUUUCUCUGCGCAGGGAAGUAGCCUGGGGAAAAGCUGGGGGGGCAGCCCUCCCCUGUCCCAGGCCUGGUGCCCCACGCUGCAGGCACUCACAGCCCACAUGGGGCUGUCCAGAGCAGGCACAAGCAGCCCCAUGCGGGCUGCAACCAGCUGCAGCACAGGGCACCAGACAUGGGUUGGGAGGGGCCGCUUCCCCCCCCAACACACCCCCUUUCCUUUCCCAGGGUCCACCCACUUACCUGAGCUUCCCGCGCAGGGGGCAGCCACGUGCUCCCAGCCCAGACCAGACCAGACACCCGGGCUGGAGUUUCUGGCUGGGGAGCAGGGCCAGGUGCCCCACUGUUGUUGGAGCCCGCUGGGCUUCUCCCGAGUCCUACUGCCCUUGGUUCCUGUCAUUUUUGACAGAAACCAAGGGCACAGAAAUAUUAAUUUUCCAAAUUUUUUUAGGGGCCCAGCGGGCCGGAUAGAAUAGCCUCGUGGGCCAUAUUUUGCCCACCCCUGACUUAGAUACAUACUAGAAGAGAAACUAGAAGAUAAAAGAAACCAUUUUUGCUUUGGAAUUGUAAACAUCUGCGUCUUAUCAAGCCCUAUACAACACUAGAAACAUUCCCUUCCAUCCCAAGUAGCACAUCUCUGCACAAAUAGUUUAACCUCUAAUUCUUUGUUCUAAUUCUCUGUUCAAGAUAGCUAGCUAUCACUCUGUAAGAUUCAUAGGAUAUGCACAUUCUUCAUGUCAUUUUAACCCAGUUCAGUACAGUCUGACUACAGAAACUGGUUACAAUGCUACCAACUUAAAAAGACAUGUAAGAAGAUGAGGAAUCUGCAAUCACCACCAAGGUUUACUACAGCUUAAGAAAACCGAUAUAGAUCAGUGGUAUUUAACAACACAAGGAAGACAUUUCAGCUAAGAAAUACUUGGAGGUGGGUAUUUCUGCAGAAACUUGGCUGAAAGUUAGCUCUUCUAGAAAAUGAACAGCAGCAGCAGCAGCACUCACCAUAGAGGGAAGUGUCUAAUCACUACAAUUUAGCUGGUUCAGGUGAAUCUCACCAAGACACCACUAGGCCUGCGGAAAGAUGCACUUUAAACUGCAUUUGUAAACAACAAUCACACAACAUCAACUGAAAACUACAAAUGUAAAAGAGCAAAAGUGUAUAAAAGUAGAUAAGGAAACUACAACUUUUGUCCACUGUAAAUUGUAGCUUGUAGUUAGCCAUAGCAAUUCUGUCCAUUCUUCAAAGACACUGCAAAAUAACCAGA
This is a long non-coding RNA of Alligator mississippiensis (American alligator), 2311 nucleotides long. RefSeq lists it as uncharacterized. The transcript has 2 exons. The record is from RefSeq and is a predicted model, not a curated record. NCBI's taxonomy places the organism in Eukaryota, Metazoa, Chordata, Crocodylia, Alligatoridae.